Molecule: non-coding RNA, 192 nt
Organism: Vicia faba (fava bean)
Lineage: Eukaryota; Viridiplantae; Streptophyta; Magnoliopsida; Fabales; Fabaceae
Source: the annotation of a GenBank genome assembly
AUGAUUGCAGCACAUGCAUUGCUCUUUGUGAAGUCAAUGCCAACAAUGAGUCAGAAGAACACCAUUUGCAGCUAUUUAUGUUUUCACUGCAUAAUGCAUCCUUAUAUUGCUAGUUUCUCAGGAAUUUCUGCCAAAGAGUCAGCCUCAGAUGAGAAGUAUACAUGUCCCUUGUUGAGAUCAGAAAAAUGUUGA